RNAcentral lists this unclassified non-coding RNA (277 nucleotides) under sea anemone metagenome. RNAcentral's name for it is "partial contains small subunit ribosomal RNA and internal transcribed spacer 1". The stretch from base 1 to 155 matches the Rfam family "Eukaryotic small subunit ribosomal RNA", at positions 1678 to 1831 of the family's 1831-position model. The record is from RNAcentral.
GCAUCUACCGAUUGAAUGGAGAGGUAAAAUCUCCGGACUAUGACGCGUUGGGGUCAAACCUAAUGCAGUCGUGGGAAGUUGAUUAAACCUUUCCAUUUAGAGGAAGAUGAAGUCGUAACAAGGUUUCCGUAGGUGAACCUGCAGAAGGAUCAAGAACGGAAGAAGGGCGUGUAGGGGAAGAAGGGAGAACACGGUGGUGGCCGCAGCAUUAAAAAAAAAAAAACAAUUAAGAAAGUACAUCGAUCUGAUGGAAACAAAGUGCAACACAUGUAAUAAU